Pogona vitticeps (central bearded dragon) is the source of this 154-nucleotide non-coding RNA. NCBI's taxonomy places the organism in Eukaryota, Metazoa, Chordata, Lepidosauria, Squamata, Agamidae. The record is from RefSeq and is a predicted model, not a curated record.
GUUAAUGACCUUGUUGAGGAACUGAAAGCUGAAGUUGCCACUGACAAGAAAACCCUGUUGCUCCAAGUAAAAGGCCUUGUUCAAGCUGUAACUUCAACACUCAAGAAUACCCUGAAUGAAGAUGAACAGGCAGAUAUUAAGAAAUUACUAGAAC